GAUUCUGAGCUGACCGGGUAGCCAUGGCCUUGCGGCUCCUGAAGCUGGCAGCGACGUCCGCGUCCGCCCGGGUCGUGGCGGCGGGCGCCCAGCGCGUGAGAGGAGUUCAUAGCAGUGUGCAGUGCAAGCUGCGCUAUGGAAUGUGGCAUUUCCUGCUUGGGGAUAAAGCAAGCAAAAGACUGACAGAACGCAGCAGAGUGAUAACUGUAGAUGGCAAUAUAUGUACUGGAAAAGGCAAACUUGCAAAAGAAAUAGCAGAGAAACUAGGCUUCAAGCACUUUCCUGAAGCGGGGAUUCAUUAUCCAGACAGUACCACAGGAGAUGGGAAGCCCCUCGCCGCCGACUAUAAUGGCAACUGUAGUUUGGAGAAAUUUUACGAUGAUCCGAGAAGCAAUGAUGGCAACAGUUACCGCCUGCAGUCCUGGUUGUACAGCAGUCGCCUGCUGCAGUACUCGGAUGCCUUGGAGCACUUGCUGACCACAGGUGCAGUAUUUCUGGGCAGUUAGAUCUGUUCUGUACUUGAACACUAUUCUAGAAUUCAACCACGUUAAAUUGCCACUGAG
Molecule: small RNA, 563 nt
Filed under: Pan troglodytes (chimpanzee)
Lineage: Eukaryota; Metazoa; Chordata; Mammalia; Primates; Hominidae
Description: retained intron
Source: RNAcentral